AGUGCUGCAUGGCUGUCGUCAGCUCGUGUCGUGAGAUGUUCGGUUAAGUCCGCUAACGAGUGCAACCCUCGCUGUGUGUUAUAUGUGUCACACGGGACUGCCGGUCCUAAGCCGGAGGAAGGUGGGGAUGAUGUCAAGUCAGCAUGGCCUUUAUAUCCUGGGCUACACACACGCUACAAUGGCCAACACAAUAGGUUGCUAAGCCGCGAGGUGGCGCCAAUCCAUAAAGUUGGUCUCAGUUCAGAUUGUAGGCUGCAACCCGCCUGCAUGAAGAUGGAGUUGCUAGUAACCGCAGGUCAGCUAUACUGCGGUGAAUACGUUCCCGGGGCUU
This 331-nucleotide ribosomal RNA is filed under the name uncultured Leptolinea sp. RNAcentral describes it as "bacterial SSU rRNA". It matches the Rfam family "Bacterial small subunit ribosomal RNA", at positions 1036 to 1382 of the family's 1533-position model. The record is from RNAcentral. Lineage: Bacteria; Bacillati; Chloroflexota; Anaerolineae; Anaerolineales; Anaerolineaceae.